UAGAGUUUGAUCAUGGCUCAUGAUGAACGCUAGCGGGAGGCCUAACACAUGCAAGCCGAGCGGUAGAGUUUCUUCGGAAACUUGAGAGCGGCGCACGGGUGCGGAACACGCGUGCAACCUGCCUUUAUCUGGGGGAUAGCCUUUCGAAAGGAAGAUUAAUACCCCAUAAUAUAUUGAUUGGCAUCAGUUAAUAUUGAAAACUCCGGUGGAUAAAGAUGGGCACGCGUAAGAUUAGAUAGUUGGUGAGGUAACGGCUCACCAAGUCAACGAUCUUUAGGGGGCCUGAGAGGGUGAUCCCCCACACUGGUACUGAGACACGGACCAGACUCCUACGGGAGGCAGCAGUGAGGAAUAUUGGACAAUGGGUGAGAGCCUGAUCCGGCCAUCCCGCGUGAAGGAAUAAGGACCUAUGGUUUGUAAACUUCUUUUGUACAGGGAUAAACCUACUCACGUGUGAGUAGCUGAAGGUACUGUACGAAUAAGCACCGGCUAACUCCGUGCCAGCAGCCGCGGGUAAUACCGGAGGGUGCAAGCGUUAUCCGGAUUUAUUGGGUUUAAAGGGUCCGUAGGCGGGCCCGUAAGUCAG
This 586-nucleotide ribosomal RNA is filed under the name uncultured bacterium. RNAcentral's name for it is "bacterial SSU rRNA". It matches the Rfam family "Bacterial small subunit ribosomal RNA", at positions 1 to 591 of the family's 1533-position model. The record is from RNAcentral.